Molecule: ribosomal RNA, 775 nt
Filed under: uncultured Neocallimastigales
Lineage: Eukaryota; Fungi; Neocallimastigomycota; Neocallimastigomycetes; Neocallimastigales
Description: partial large subunit ribosomal RNA
Rfam family: Eukaryotic large subunit ribosomal RNA
Source: RNAcentral
ACACGCAUGACACACUGCAUAUCAAUAAGCGGAGGAAAAGAAACUAACAAGGAUUCCCUUAGUAACGGCGAGUGAAGCGGGAAGAGCUCAAAUUUGAAAUCUUCAAGGUUCUACCUUGACGAAUUGUAGUUUAUAGAAGUGUUUCUCUGUUAGUGGAGUGGCAAAAGUUCUUUGGAAUAGGACAUCAUAGAGGGUGAGAAUCCCGUAUUUGGUCAUUCCUCCUAGCGUUGUGAUACACUUUCAACGAGUCGGAUUGUUUGGGAAUGCAGUCCAAAAUGGGUGGUAAAUUUCAUCUAAAGCUAUAUAUUGGCGAGAGACCGAUAGCGAACAAGUACCGUGAGGGAAAGAUGAAAAGAACUUUGAAAAGAGAGUUAAACAGUACGUGAAAUUGUCAAAAGGGAAGCGUUUGACACCAGUGUUGUUUUUCCGAAAAUCAAUUACGAAUGUUUUAUUUUUGAGGAGUUAUGACUUCAUCGGCUUGCUCCUUUCUUUACGAAACUUUCUUAAUGCACUUUUCGGUUAACAAGUCAACAUCAAUUUCUUUUGUUGUAAAAGGGUAUGAGGAAGGUGGCUUUCUUUUCGGAGAAAGUGUUUAUAGCCUUGUGCCUCUGCAGUCGGAGAGAUUGAGGUCUGCAGCGUAGAUCCUUCGGGGUUAGAUACGUUUGUGCUAAGCUAUAGUUCUUUAUAGACAACUUGUUGACUAUAAUCAAUCCUGUAACUUACUCGCUUAUGCUAUUUUACCUACGCUUAGGAUGUUGACUGAUAUGUAGUCGUA